UUCUAGAACUUUAUAGAUGAGCUUAUAUGCAAUAUUAGUUAACUGAUUGGCCUAUAGUCGCUAAAAACAUUGGAUUUUCAAUGUUUAGAUCAUUAAGAUGUAUGAGUGUGGUUGAUUUUAAGGUCUAACUCAUCCUGUUCAAAAACAUCAAGGGGAAAUUUAAGUACACCUAGGCCAAUAGUGUUCAUAGAAGAAUGUAUUUAACCCAUAUGGUCCUGGAAUUUUAUCUUUUAUUCCCAUCUGCUGCAUGGCUCUAUAUAGCUCUACAUUACCACUGAAAUGUGAAGCAAAACAUCAUUAGAAUAAGUUGACAAUUACUCGUUUUACAUCUUUGGUCGAUGACCAGGUUUUUCCAUUAUCUUUUGUUUUGCACUUCGAUGGAAUACAUAGUAUUCUUGUCACCAGCACAGGGCCAUUGUACUGUGCUUUUCUUUUAGGGAAAUUUGGCUGUAUGACGCUGAAAAAAACAACAAUUCACCUUCUAACCAAUUUCCCUAAUAUAUCGAUACACCAUCUGUCUUUCCUAUAAUAUUGCCAAAAUACCCUUUCAUUCUACCGGUGAAACCUGAAGAAAAUAAAAAUAAAAAAUCCAAGUUAUUAGCUGUUUCAAAUUACUCGUGGCGUAAUCAUAUUCACAUCUUUCUUUUUACCUUUAUUUGGUAAUUUUUGAGAAAUUGAUCCAUGAUUUUCUCCACCUCUUCCAACCACGUUUCUCUCCUCUCCAUCGCCACCGUCUGUGUUCUCUGAGUUUAUUUCUUUCUCUAAUUGUGUUGCAAAGGGAAUCGUCUCCACUUUGGGAAUCUAUUGCGAGAAGACGUCGUGACAGUCCAAUCGGGGAGAAGGAGCACACUGACCAUUUUUCCAUUCACAUCGGCGCUUUGUCUCAGAUCUAUUGCAAUACUGUUGCUCCGCUGUAGUGACACUUAUUAUGUUAUAAAUGCACGCUGUUGGGAUGGAAUUGAAGUGUGUGGCUUUCACUGAAGAAAAUAUUUGUGUAGCUGCGGAGAACUACUUGCUUGAAACACUGGCACUGUGUCAAGCCGGAGCACUCACCCAGGACGUGUAGACAUGGGUUUAUGGUUUCUAAGCAUAGUUUUAAUGUUUUAGCUUUGCUUCUUGUUUUUAGAUACUACCAUCUAAACUACCUCCGUGUUGUAGUAAUGUUUUAUGUAAUGACUCCAACUCUAUGUAUCUUCUUCCUUUUUGUUGCUUACACUGGAAGAAUGAAAUCACAUUCCAUAUGCAUCAAUUUGAAUUUGGUGUAAGCAUUACCUCCUUCCCUGCAAUUAUAAACACUUCAAAAUGUGAGCAAUAUGUAUUAUAUAACGUUGGUUAGAUGAAAUAGAACAAUUAAUUAUAUACUAUUUAUGUAUUUUGAUUUAUUUAAGUUAUUUUUACAUUUGAGUUUGGGUUUAUGAAUUUAGGUUUUGGGUUUAGUAUUUAGGGCUUCCAGGUGGGUUUGUUCAGGGUCUAGUAUUUCAGGAUCGGAGGUUGGUUGAGGUUGGAGGUUGGUUGUGAUUCUGAUUAUGGUUAUAGUACUAUACUAUGUUGGUGAGAUGAAAUAGAACAGUUAAAUUUUACUAUUUUUGUAUUUUAAUUUAUUAAAGAUAUUUUAUAUUUGGGUUUGGGUUUAUGAAUUCGGGUUUAGGGUUUAGUAUUUAUGGCUUUAAGGUGGGUUAGUUUAGGGUUUAGUAUUUCAGUGUUGGAGGUUGGUUGUGAUUCUGAUGGUUUUAGUAUUAUACUACGUUGGUGAGAUGAAAUAGAAUAGUUAAUUAUAUAAUAUUUUGUAUUUUAAUUUAUAAAAGAUAUUUUACAUUGGGUUUGGGUGUAUGAAUUCGGGUUUAGGGGUUAAUAAUUAUGAUUUAGAGGUGGAUUGGUUUAGGGUCUAGUAUUUCAGGGUUAGAGGUUGGUUGGGGUUAGAGGUUGGUUAUGAUUCUAAUUGUGUUUAUAGUACUCUACUAUGUUGGUGAGAUGAAAUAGAACAUUUUCUUUUCCAUCAUGUGUGUUGCAUACAGCUGUCAUAUAUGCUUCAUAUAAUUAAGUGUCCCUAAAAAAACCACGUCUCUUAUAUUUGAAAGUGAAACUGGCAACCUGUUAAGUAAAGGGGUAGAACCGGUUUGAUUGAGACCAAAAAGUUUGACAUUAAAUUAUGUCAAAAUCAAUGUUAGUUCCUUAAUUUGUCUCCCAAAUAUAGCUAUUUCGCUAAUAAGCCCUUUCUUUUAUAUGAAAUCAUAACUUAAAAAAAAAAAAAAACUGUAGAAUCAGUAAAAGGAGGUGACAAGGAUGCAAAAAUAAGAAGAAUCAAGCAGACUUUUGAACUGAUUAUGACAGAAAUAAUCAUUGUUACAAAAGAAAGAAACCUUACAUGCUAACAUGUUACAGUUUUCAUCUAUGUGUUUUGGGAAAGAACCCAAAAAGCCUCAACACAUGAAUUUUAU
Molecule: long non-coding RNA, 2438 nt
Organism: Brassica rapa (field mustard)
Lineage: Eukaryota; Viridiplantae; Streptophyta; Magnoliopsida; Brassicales; Brassicaceae
Source: RefSeq, a predicted model, not a curated record